Molecule: ribosomal RNA, 305 nt
Filed under: uncultured bacterium
Lineage: Bacteria
Description: bacterial SSU rRNA
Rfam family: Bacterial small subunit ribosomal RNA
Source: RNAcentral
UGCCUACGGGGGGCAGCAGUGAGGAAUAUUGGUCAAUGGGCGGGAGCCUGAACCAGCCAAGCCGCGUGAAGGAAGAAGGCGCCAGGCGUCGUAAACUUCUUUUGUCGGGGAACAAAGGGCGCCACGCGUGGCGUUGUGAGUGUACCCGAAGAAAAAGCAUCGGCUAACUCCGUGCCAGCAGCCGCGGUAAUACGGAGGAUGCGAGCGUUAUCCGGAUUUAUUGGGUUUAAAGGGUGCGCAGGCGGAGGCACAAGUCAGCGGUAAAAUCGCGGGGCUCAACCCCGCUCCGCCGUUGAAACUGCAUC